Molecule: ribosomal RNA, 301 nt
Filed under: uncultured bacterium
Lineage: Bacteria
Description: partial 16S ribosomal RNA
Rfam family: Bacterial small subunit ribosomal RNA
Source: RNAcentral
CAGCCGCCGCGGGAAUACGGAGGGUGCAAGCGUUAAUCGGAAUUACUGGGCGUAAAGCGUGCGUAGGUGGUGGUUUAAGUCCGUUGUGAAAGCCCUGGGCUCAACCUGGGAAUUGCAGUGGAUACUGGGUCACUAGAGUGUGGUUGAGGAUAGUGGAAUUUCCGGUGUAGCAGUGAAAUGCGUAGAGAUCGGAAGGAACAUCUGUGGCGAAGGCGACUAUCUGGGCCAACACUGACACUGAGGCACGAAAGCGUGGGGAGCAAACAGGAUUAGAUACCCCCGUAGUCCCUGUCUCUUAUAC